This 446-nucleotide ribosomal RNA is filed under the name uncultured bacterium. RNAcentral describes it as "SSU rRNA". It matches the Rfam family "Bacterial small subunit ribosomal RNA", at positions 26 to 518 of the family's 1533-position model. The record is from RNAcentral.
AGGAUGAACGCUGGCGGCGUGCCUAAGACAUGCAAGUCGAGUGGGUUUAGACCCACGGCGAACGGGUGAGUAAUACCUAGGAACUUUCUUUAAGUGGAGCAUAACCCAUAGAAAUGUGGGACAAUUCUCCAUGUGAUAGUAAUAUCAAAGCAGCAAUGCGCUUAAAGUGAGGCCUGGGCACCAUCAGCUAGUUGGUAAGGUAAUGGCUUACCAAGGCUAUGACGGUUAGGGGUCCCGAGACGGGAUAACCCCCACACUGGAACUGCGACACGGUCCAGACUCCUACGGGAGGCAGCAGUUUGGAAUUUUGGACAAUGGGCGAAAGCCUGAUCCAGCGACGCCGCGUGGACGAUGAAGGCCUUCGGGUCGUAAAGUCCUUUUGCUCGGGAACAAUAAUUGAGCGUACCGAGAGAAUAAGAGGUUGCUAACUCUGCGCCAGCAGCCGC